UUUUAACAAUUUUUUUUUUGCCAUUUAGGUCUACCAGAGGAGAGAGGUAAAACGUUACAGCCUGUCUCUCUCCUUCAAAACCCUCUCUCAAGACACACACAGCAGGCCUUCGAACACCACAAACAUUGUCGCUUUUCCGAUCAAAACCUUGGUGGCAUUCAUCACGGGAAAGACAAAGUACAUGAGCGGGAGAUGAUGAUUUGUGGUGGUGAGCAACCAGAGCGACGAUAUGGGUAUAAGAAGAAAGCCCGAGCAUAAGAAAGGGUUUUGGACAAAGAGAGGUGCUGGCUCUAGGGUUCCGGCUGUUGGUCCUGGCAACGACCAUAACCGACGGUCCCGCGAGCCCAGUGGUGGUAGCGAUUUGGGUUGAUGUAAAACGGUGGAAGUGUUCAGGUUUUGACAGAGGAGUGACGACUGCCGUUUGAAGGCUUGGUAUUCCGGCGAGGUGUUUUCCGGUCUAGAUCCAGACAAUAUUCCGGGUUAUUCUAGACCUCCGACCAAAAUCCGGUGAACGACGGUGGUUGUAACGGUGAGUGGCGAAGAUGACACAAAUAUAAUGCGACGAGUAUCAUUGACGAGUGAAAUACUUCAAAGAGUACAAAUACUACAAGUUGGAUGGAUUGGCUAAAGUCCCAAAUGUCAACACAAGUUCAGCACCAAGCCAAACACCCACGUGGCAGGUUCCGUCGAUACAUCCGAUCUCCCCAGCUACAGUGUUCGGGUUGAAUCCUCCUAUUGUUUGCAGUAAUUCAAUUUAAGUAGCCGCAACGCGGCGACACGAAAAAAAACCUAGUUAGUUUAGUACUCAACAUUGUGACAAGAUUUCUUAGUACUCAACAUUGUAACAAAUGGAACAUUAAUACUUGAUU
RNAcentral lists this long non-coding RNA (869 nucleotides) under Helianthus annuus (common sunflower). RNAcentral describes it as "sRNA HanXRQr2_Chr09g0379181". The record is from RNAcentral. Lineage: Eukaryota; Viridiplantae; Streptophyta; Magnoliopsida; Asterales; Asteraceae.